CCUGUUUAACAAAAACAUGUCUUUUUGAGUUAUUUUUAAAGUCUGACCUGCCCACUGAAGUUAUUUAAAUGGCCGCAGUAUUCUAACUGUGCAAAGGUAGCAUAAUCAUUAGUCUUUUAAUUGAAGGCUGGUAUGAACGGUUGGACGAGGUAUAAGCUGUUUCAUAUAAAUUUAUAAUAGAAUUUUAUAUUUUAGUCAAAAAGCUAAAAUUUAAUUAAAAGACGAGAAGACCCUAUAAAUCUUUAUACUUUACAUUGUUUAAAUUUUUUAGAUUAAUUUUAUUUUUAUAAUUUAAAGUAUUUUGUUGGGGUGAUAUUAAAAUUUAAUGAACUUUUAAUUAUUUAAAAUCAUUAAUUUAUGAGUUAUUGAUCCAUUAGUAGUGAUUAUAAGAUUAAGUUACUUUAGGGAUAACAGCGUAAUUUUUUUGGAGAGUUCAUAUCGAUAAAAAAGUUUGCGACCUCGAUGUUGGAUUAAGAUAUAUUUUUAGGUGUAGCCGCUUAAAU
This 503-nucleotide ribosomal RNA is filed under the name Bactrocera opiliae. RNAcentral describes it as "partial large subunit ribosomal RNA". It matches the Rfam family "Bacterial large subunit ribosomal RNA", at positions 1799 to 2568 of the family's 2925-position model. The record is from RNAcentral. Lineage: Eukaryota; Metazoa; Arthropoda; Insecta; Diptera; Tephritidae.